This 472-nucleotide ribosomal RNA is filed under the name uncultured soil bacterium. Its description in RNAcentral is "bacterial SSU rRNA". It matches the Rfam family "Bacterial small subunit ribosomal RNA", at positions 26 to 518 of the family's 1533-position model. The record is from RNAcentral.
AGGACGAGCGCUGGCGGCGUGCUUAACACAUGCAAGUCGAGCGGAAAGGCCCUUCGGGGUACUCGAGCGGCGAACGGGUGAGUAACACGUGAGUAACCUGCCCUGGACUUUGGGAUAACCCUCGGAAACGGGGGCUAAUACCGGAUACGACAACUCAUCGCAUGGUGUGGUUGUGGAAAGUUUUUCGGUCUGGGAUGGGCUCGCGGCCUAUCAGCUUGUUGGUGGGGUGAUGGCCUACCAAGGCGACGACGGGUAGCCGGCCUGAGAGGGCGACCGGCCACACUGGGACUGAGACACGGCCCAGACUCCUACGGGAGGCAGCAGUGGGGAAUAUUGCACAAUGGGCGGAAGCCUGAUGCAGCGACGCCGCGUGAGGGAUGACGGCCUUCGGUUGCAACCUCUUUCAGCAGGACGAAGCGCAAGUGACGGUACCUGCAGAAGAAGCGCCGGCCAACUACGUGCCAGCAGCCGC